GGCCUAUUAGCUUAGUUGGUUAGAGCAUCGUGUUAAUAACGCAAAGGUCGGAGGUUUGAGGCCUGCAUGGGCUA
This 74-nucleotide transfer RNA is filed under the name Zingiber officinale. It matches the Rfam family "tRNA". From Rfam's summary of the family: Transfer RNA (tRNA) molecules are approximately 80 nucleotides in length. Their secondary structure includes four short double-helical elements and three loops (D, anti-codon, and T loops). The record is from Rfam by way of RNAcentral. Lineage: Eukaryota; Viridiplantae; Streptophyta; Magnoliopsida; Zingiberales; Zingiberaceae.